RNAcentral lists this ribosomal RNA (222 nucleotides) under uncultured bacterium. Its description in RNAcentral is "partial 16S ribosomal RNA". It matches the Rfam family "Bacterial small subunit ribosomal RNA", at positions 125 to 334 of the family's 1533-position model. The record is from RNAcentral.
UCUACCCCUAGGGUGGGGGAAUAAACUCCUCGAAAGGGGAGCUAAUGCCGACAUGUGCGCCACUCUCGCAAGGGAGUGAUGGAAAGCCGUACCGUGGGUGCGGCGCCCAAGGAUGAGCUCACGUCCUAUCAGCUUGUUGGCGGGGUAACGGCCCACCAAGGCUCCGACGGGUAGCUGGUCUGAGAGGACGACCAGCCACACUGGCACUGCGACACGGGCCAG